RNAcentral lists this ribosomal RNA (359 nucleotides) under uncultured bacterium. RNAcentral describes it as "bacterial SSU rRNA". It matches the Rfam family "Bacterial small subunit ribosomal RNA", at positions 143 to 509 of the family's 1533-position model. The record is from RNAcentral.
AUAACACUUAAGAAAUAGGUGACUAAAACCGCAUAAGCGCGACGGGACCGCAUGGUCUUGUGUAGAAAAACUCCGGUGGUACAGGAUCGGUCCCGCGUCUGAUUAGCCAGUUGGCAGGGUAACGGCCUACCAAAGCGACGAUCAGUAGCCGGCCUGAGAGGGUGAACGGCCACAGUUGGGACUGAGACACCGGACCCAAACUCCUACGGGGAGGCAGCAGGUGGGGAAUAUUGCACAAGUGGGGGAAACCCUGAUGCAGCGACGCCGCGUGAGUGAAGAAGUAUUUCGGUAUGUAAAGCUCUAUCAGCAGGGAAGAAGAUGACGGUACCUGAGUAAGAAGCCCCGGCUAACUACGUGCC